GUCCACGCCGUAAACGAUGAAUGCUAGGUGUAGGGGCAAUAGCUUCUGUGCCGCAGCUAACGCAAUAAGCAUUCCACCUGGGGAGUACGGCCGCAAGGUUGAAACUCAAAGGAAUUGACGGGAGCCCGCACAAGCAGUGGAGUAUGUGGUUUAAUUCGACGCAACGCGAAGAACCUUACCAGGUCUUGACAUCCUAGGAACCCGGCGUAAUGGCUGGGGUGCCCUUCGGGGAAUCUAGAGACAGGUGGUGCAUGGUUGUCGU
Molecule: ribosomal RNA, 262 nt
Filed under: uncultured bacterium
Lineage: Bacteria
Description: partial 16S ribosomal RNA
Rfam family: Bacterial small subunit ribosomal RNA
Source: RNAcentral